RNAcentral lists this ribosomal RNA (253 nucleotides) under uncultured bacterium. Its description in RNAcentral is "partial 16S ribosomal RNA". It matches the Rfam family "Bacterial small subunit ribosomal RNA", at positions 524 to 776 of the family's 1533-position model. The record is from RNAcentral.
UACGUAGGGACCAAGCGUUGUUCGGAUUUACUGGGCGUAAAGGGAGCGUAGGCGGCGUGUCAAGUCAGUUGUGAAAUCUCCGAGCUUAACUCGGAACGGUCAACUGAUACUGUCAUGCUAGAGUGCAGAAGGGGCAAUCGGAAUUCUUGGUGUAGCGGUGAAAUGCGUAGAUAUCAAGAGGAACACCAGAGGUGAAGACGGGUUGCUGGGCUGACACUGACGCUGAGGCUCGAAAGCUAGGGUAGCAAACGGG